GGUCAGCUCAUCAAAGCAGAACAGGGUUGUUAGCUAGCAUUCCUCUUUCAGAGAAGGUUAUAUUAAGAAGGCGUGGCUCAGGGAGGGGGUUAUUGGCCCUGGCUGGCCCCAGUCAGAAAGUUGUGGGGAGUUUGCUAGAGCAGGCAGAUGCCUGCCAGGGUCAGGGAGAGCUUUCUGAGAGGGUGGUGAGAGACUGGGGAGGUGGGAGAGGGGUAGCUGUGAAAGGAAAAUGUGUGGAGGUGACAUGUCUGUAGGUUAGGCCAGGCCAGAAGAGAAGGUGAGAGGGAAGUGAGUGUUCCAGUCAGCCUUGCUGUCUUGGGGAAGAUCCUGGGGUCCAGCCCACUGCCCCCUCCUCUCCGUCUCUCCUGCUCCCUGGGCUGAGGGAACGGAAGGAGCUGUGCCACCGUGAGGAGGAGGACCUCUAUAUGUGAGGGACCUGCUGGGGCUGGCUGCUGGGGAGUCCAGCUUUCUCUCAGUGGCUGAAGGGGACUAUUUCUUUCCCAAGGGGCAGCUGCCAUGCCACCACAGGAAAACCUGGCUUGCCGUUUUGGAUACUUGGAUUUUCCCACAGUGUGAGGGGGCUGGGAGUGUGGCCCAGGAAGGUGCACCUGAGGUGGGAGAAGAAAGAAGGAGACUGGUUGGGAGUCAGCUGAAUUGGGGGCCGCAGAGGCUGGGGUGGGAGGGACGGAAGGAUGUGUCAAAGCCCAGCCUCCCAAAGCUGAGCAAGAAGAGCAUGAUGGGAGGGUGUUUCCUGCCUCCUCGCCCACUCCAGUGCAAGGUCCUGUCUCCAUCCAAAUGCUGCAAGCACCACCUUUGGAGAUCUGAGCAUUUUCAGGAAUGAACUCUGGGAAUGAAUCUCAAAGCUCAGCAAGGCAUCUGGCUCCUUGACUCAAGACUACACUUCCCAGCUUCCUGUGAGAGUCUUUAAGCUCUGGCUUCAUUUUGAGGAAAUCAUUGACUACGCAUUGCUGGCAUGGCUCAUGGAAGGAAAUCAUCUUGGAUUCUAAUCAGCAAAACCAAAGGCCCAGACUUACAUCAAAAGAUUGACCUAUAUUCACGCGCAUUUAGCUAUUUUAAGUGGAAACUCAAUGUUUAAAGUAAAUAUGUAUCAUUUUUUAUGAUG
Long non-coding RNA from Chlorocebus sabaeus (green monkey), 1123 nucleotides. RefSeq lists it as uncharacterized. The record is from RefSeq and is a predicted model, not a curated record. NCBI's taxonomy places the organism in Eukaryota, Metazoa, Chordata, Mammalia, Primates, Cercopithecidae.